CGCACCACCAACCGGAGGGCCGCAUCCAGGGUGGGGGUUGGAACUGCGACGCGCGCGCCCUCUCAUCGGUUGUGUACCUCUACAGUGCAUUCCUUCAAAUGUGUGAUUUUAUGCACGAAUUGAAGACAGUUAGAGGCAAGUAUGGGGUAGCCAAUUUGAAACAAGCGAUUACGUGCCUGCGGUGAAAGAAAAAUGCACUCAAACGCCUUCGCUCAUUUCGUGAUUGACGGAUCUGUUGCCCAAUCAUAAGCCGAGCUGCUGCCGUCAUUCCGUGCAUCGAUCCAAUCAAUGCAAGGAGAGGGCUCGGCCUGCAGCCGCCUGUUCAAGCCCCAUUGACACUGAAAGGAGGAACAGACUUCCCAAGUUUCCGAAGUUCACUCCAGGGAACACUUGUCUAUACGUGUUUGCAAAAUACACAGCAAAGCACUGCCAGACAAGAGAAGAGAGGUGAUAUCUGAUCAGAAUCCUAGAAGUCAAACCCAAGGCCUUGGUUCCUUGCAUGAAGUCCCACUUCCUCUCAACUUUACCAACUUUAAGCAGUACUUCCACAAAAUCAGAAGGAGAGGUGGAAUCGAUUGGAGUAAUAACUGAGAAGCCAGCAGACGCAAUGCUGAAGCAUGAGAGCAUCGCCACUGGAGAUAUGUCUAUGUGCGCCUCUGAAAUACUUUCCAAGCCACCAGAUGGACCACUUCCAUUACAAUGAAGGACUGGGUCACUUCCAGGCCGGAAAUAGAUUUCCAGCACCUGCAGUUCAUUUUCAGUGAUUUACAUGUCAAUCAUCUUAACGCUGCUGGUUGGAAAAAUAGCGCAAUCAUACUGAAGAAUAUAGAAGAAUAUUUAUUCCAUUUUUAAUAGUGACAAGCUUUACAAAGACACUCAUUCCUGAGAGAAAAACAAUGAAAUAACAUGAAUAUUGAAAAAUGUUUUAAUAACUUGAUUGUACAAAGUGUCAAUAAUAUUGGAAGCAAAACGAUAGAUUAAUGUUUCAGGUGAAUGUUUCUUUCAAGUAUCCAAUCUGAAAUGCUAACCUGUUUGCCUGUUUCAGGUAGAAAAUUGGCCUACUUUCUAAAUGUUUUGUGUUUAUGAACUGGAUUUCUUUUACAAAACAUACAUUAAUUAUUGCACAAAAGUACUGUACCACAUUGAAAAUUCAACUCCAUUUAACAAGGGAGAGAAUUAGAAAAGUUUAUCAUCUUCAGCAAUUUCAAAAACAGCCUAUAGUGGUUGGAGAAAUCCUCGAUGGCUGCCAAGUAGAUAUUAGGCUAAGCUCCAGAAUUAAUUAUGUUUCCAGUUUGAAGCCAAUCAACAUUUAACAUUUGGCUGAUUGCAGAACGUAAUACUGUAUUUUUCACUUGGUGACUUGCCCUUUUGCUACAUUCAUUGGAGCUAAGUCAUUCGAUGAAGUUUCAGAUUCGUAUGUGAUUUGUUACUUUGAAAAAGAAAGACUUGCAUUUCUAAGGUGCCCUUCACAACCCCACAGUGCCCUAAUGCAUUUUACGGCCAACAAAAUGCUUUUAAAAGGAUGCAUUUGGAAAGGUUAAAAUUAAAUUGUGCAAAGUAAGCUUCCACAGAUGGCAAUGUGAAAAUGAUUAAAGAAUUUGUUUUUAGGUGCUAGUUGUGAGAUAGCUGUUGGCCAGGCCAUUAUGGAGUCAUAGAGUCUUACAGAGCGGAAACAGACCCUUUGGUCCAACUAGUCCAUGCCGACCAAGUUUCCGGAACUAAAUUAGCCACACUUGCCUGCAUUUGGCCCAUAACCCUCUAAACCUUUCCUCUUCAUAACCUUGCCCAAAUAUCUUAUAAAUGUUAUAACUAUUUGCAUCUACCACUUCCACUGGCAGGUCACUCCACAUAUAAACCACUCUCUGUGUGGAAAAAGUUGCCCCAAUAUCCCUUUAAAAUCUUUAUCCUUUCACCCUAACAUUAUGCCCUCUAGUUUUGAAUGCCCCCACCCCAGGGAGAAGACCUUUGUUAUUCCCCCUAUCCAUGUACCAGAGAGAACUCCCCUGCAUUCUUCAAAAUAGAGUAUUGGGAUUCUUUAUAUUAAUCUGAGAGGGUAUUCUCCUUUAUACACUAUACCUCUGAAGAUGCAGCUCUCCUUCAGAAUUGCACAUGAGGACGAGUGAGAUUACGUGCCUCAGUUGCUGGAGUGGCAAUUUAUAUGCAUUUGGACCUACCAAUUCAAACUUAUGAAUGCUGCCACUGAGCAUUGGCAAUUGUGACUGUCAAUGUUUAAUUAGGUUUUUUGUGAAAUUGGAAGAAUACUCUUGCGAGCCACAAAAAUACAAUGUAGCUUUAAUUUUAACGAUAGGGUCGCGCUUCAGUAAAUGAUCUUGCGAUAUAAUGGAAUUUCACUGUUUGGUUUUGAAUGUAGCUUAUUUUUAGAUUUAGUUAGAUUAUAAUCUAACUCCUUGCUCUACCCACCUCAACUGUAGACCCACAGUAUAUAUUAAUGCUUGCAGGGGUUGGUUUAGUUCGUUGGCUGGAUGUCUGUUUUGCAAAGCAGUGCAAUACCAACAAGUUCGUUCAAUUCCUAUCACCGGCUGCAGUUACCAUGAAGGACUUCCCUUUCCAACCACUCCCCCACCUGAAGUAUGGUACCUUCAGGUUAAAUUGUCAACAAUUGUCAUUCUCUAAUGAGAGAGCAACCCUAUAGGCUGGUAAGACUAUGAUGACACAAACAAACUAUCGAUGCUUCUAUCAGAUGUAUACAAGACUCAACUUAUUAAAAUUAUAACACACAUAACAAUCAAUAUUAGUUUUCAGAAUAAACUACAAACUAAUGUAAAACAUUAUAAUGGAACAUAAGGUGUAAUUUGUGUUGAGUAGGAAUUAAUUUUAGUGUUUCCAUUGGACUGAUGAAAACAUAGAUGUAAAGGUUUUUCUGUUGUGAGGAAGUCUAAACCUAGAGCCCAUAGAUAAAAGAUAGUCCUCAAUACAUCCAUAAGAAAAUUCAAGUAAAACUUCUUUAUGCAAAGAGUGGCUAAAAUUUAGAGUCUACUAUAACAGGAAUUAGUUAAGACAAUUAGCAUAAAUUGUUUUAAGGGUAAGCUGAAUAAACAUACCAGUUGGGCUAAAAUGAGCUAUUUCCUUGCUGUAAAUUAUAUGCUUUGUGGAAAUUGAUUAGGUCAGCAGCUUGAAUAAAUAUAUGCAUAGAGAAUAACCGAAGGCAGGAGCUACUACACAGGGAAUCAUUUUUCAAGUACGCACUAAUGGCAAGGAACCUUGACUGUUGCCAAUGUAUCAGAAAAUUAUGGACAAUUAAGUACAUUUCCACAAGGGAGCUUAACCAAGAUUUUUCUUGUUCUCAACUUUGUGCUUUAAUAUAUUCAUCAGAGUACUUAUAAAACAUGGCAGAUGACUAAUUAUAUAAGGCUAAAUCUACAUUUGUCCCUGCUGAACUCAUUUUCCCCAUUUCUACCCCAUUUCAAUAACCAUAAAACAUUCAAUUUCUUGAUUAAAUGUUUUUUUUAAUUCUGCCAGGGACUCAUGCUCCCACUUCAAUCUCAAUAAUGUCAAGUACAUUUGAUGGCUUUGUGGCUUCCAGCAUAAUCCUAUUCAUUCCCUUCCAAAUGCUUGUUUACUCUUGAACAAGGCAGCCUUUGCCAUUCAUAAGCAGAUCGUGGGUAAUUAUGUCAAUCUGGAGGCUCAGGGUGAUGCUAGCCUUCUGCUAAAUGAAGCUUCCCCACCUAACUAUAUCUCCACUAUUAUCCCACUCAGACCAACAUCUCAGGGUUUGUGGCCUUAAUUUCUGUUCCCCUACUUCUUUGGCACUUCCUUUUUCUUUGAGCAUACCUUCUUCCAUCUCCUUAUAGGAUUUCCUGCCCAUGUUCAGAGCCAUUCUCUUGAAUCUGCCAUUUCAAAUGGCCUCACCACUUCAAUCAUGUCAGUCACAGAUAAGACCAUUACUGAUCACCUCUCCGUGCUUCUCUUUUCAAAUUCCCA
Stegostoma tigrinum is the source of this 3942-nucleotide long non-coding RNA. RefSeq lists it as uncharacterized. The record is from RefSeq and is a predicted model, not a curated record. The transcript is spliced from 7 exons. NCBI's taxonomy places the organism in Eukaryota, Metazoa, Chordata, Chondrichthyes, Orectolobiformes, Stegostomatidae.